UACGUAGGGUGCAGGCGUUAAUCGGAAUUACUGGGCGUAAAGCGUGCGCAGGCGGUUUCUUAAGUCAGAUGUGAAAGCCCCGGGCUUAACCUGGGAACUGCGUUUGAAACUACAAGGCUAGAGUGUGGCAGAGGGGGGUGGAAUUCCACGUGUAGCAGUGAAAUGCGUAGAGAUGUGGAGGAACACCGAUGGCGAAGGCAGCCCCCUGGGCUGAGAUUGACGCUCAGGCACGAAAGCGUGGGGAGCAAACAGG
RNAcentral lists this ribosomal RNA (253 nucleotides) under uncultured bacterium. RNAcentral describes it as "partial 16S ribosomal RNA". It matches the Rfam family "Bacterial small subunit ribosomal RNA", at positions 524 to 776 of the family's 1533-position model. The record is from RNAcentral.